AAUUCAGAUAAGAGAAAGAAUCCAACUCCUCUGAGAAUGGACCAAUUUCUAGAUUCCUCAAUUGAGUGAGCCCCCCUAAUAUUGUCUCUGAAAAGUAACUCAAACUUUGACACGCUGUUAUUCGUAAAAUAUUAAGAGAAAGCAAUUCUCCUAAAUAUUCCGGAAAAGAUAUCAACCUGUUGCAUCUAUCUAUUUCCAAUGAUUCCAAAGAAGUGGAGGAUUUUAGCCCACUUGGAAGGCAAGUUAAUUUGCUACACCCUCUAAGUUUAAUGCUUUUAAGAGAUGG
RNAcentral lists this unclassified non-coding RNA (286 nucleotides) under Hevea brasiliensis (rubber tree). Lineage: Eukaryota; Viridiplantae; Streptophyta; Magnoliopsida; Malpighiales; Euphorbiaceae. The record is from RNAcentral.